CCUACGGGUGGCAGCAGUCGAGAAUCAUUCACAAUGGAGGAAACCCUGAUGGUGCGACGCCGCGUGGGGGAAUGAAGGUCUUCGGAUUGUAAACCCCUGUCAUGUGGGAGCACAUGAACAAGAUAGUACCACAAGAGGAAGAGACGGCUAACUCUGUGACAGCAGCCGCGGUAAUACAGAGGUCGCAAGCGUUGUUCGGAAUCACUGGGCGUAAAGCGUGCGUAGGCUGUUUCGUAAGUCGUGUGUGAAAGGCGCGGGCUCAACCCGCGGACGGCACAUGAGACUGCGAGACUAGAGUAAGGGAGGGGAGACCGGAAUUCUCGGUGUAGCAGUGAAAUGCGUAGAUAGCGAGAGGAACACUCGUGGCGAAGGCGGGUUCCUGGACAUUAACUGACGCUGAGGCACGAAGGCCAGGGGAGCGAAAGGGAUUAGAUACCCGAGUAGUC
RNAcentral lists this ribosomal RNA (446 nucleotides) under uncultured bacterium. RNAcentral's name for it is "partial 16S ribosomal RNA". It matches the Rfam family "Bacterial small subunit ribosomal RNA", at positions 338 to 795 of the family's 1533-position model. The record is from RNAcentral.